CCUCGGAUCAGGUAGGGUCCCCCCGCUGAACUUA
RNAcentral lists this ribosomal RNA (34 nucleotides) under Aspergillus candidus. RNAcentral describes it as "partial 28S ribosomal RNA". Lineage: Eukaryota; Fungi; Ascomycota; Eurotiomycetes; Eurotiales; Aspergillaceae. The record is from RNAcentral.